UUCCAGAGUAAGGUUUCUUAAAGUUAUCUCCUUCAGUUUUGUAUUUCACAGAGUAUUAGGAAUAAGCUACCUGAACCCACCUAGUCACAGCUAUUUAAAAAUAGCCUUAACUUCAUGCAGUGGUUUCUCUUUACAAAAGAAAGCAUCUCACAUUUGAGUGGGCAAAGCAACAGAGGCAAACUCUCACCAUUGCCCACAUCAGUUCCAUUACUUCAGCUGAUGACUUCUUCCCCAGGGUUAGAAUUGGCAUUUCAGUGCUAGGAGAAUGACUUUUUCCAACAGUCAGGAAAAGAAAGGACAAUCCAAGAAUUUUCUAACCCACCUGGUUGUGGAGAAAUGCUUGAAGACAUGACCUUUGUGUACCAUAAAAGCAUGGACACUAGAAAGAAAAUAAAAAG
Molecule: non-coding RNA, 398 nt
Organism: Pelodiscus sinensis (Chinese soft-shelled turtle)
Lineage: Eukaryota; Metazoa; Chordata; Testudines; Trionychidae
Source: RefSeq, a predicted model, not a curated record